RNAcentral lists this long non-coding RNA (867 nucleotides) under Anas platyrhynchos platyrhynchos (common mallard). Its description in RNAcentral is "lncRNA (ENSAPLG00000025876.1)". The record is from RNAcentral. Lineage: Eukaryota; Metazoa; Chordata; Aves; Anseriformes; Anatidae.
CAAGAAAAAAAUCAACAAAGCAGUGCUGAAAGGCUGCUUUGUAUGGAGAGCCUGGGGUCUCUCCCUCCUCCAGCACUGCCAGCACAACAUUUGCCCCUGUACUGGCACUUGAGUGAGGUGCUGAAGAAUCCAGGACUGUUUUUGGGGGGAGAGAGGGCAGAACAAGGUGACAAUCACACCAGGGCAUAUCGAUUGUCCUCGAUAAAGGAACCUGGAAGCAGCAGCAGGGAAAGUGUGAGGCCAGGCGGGACUUGAGCAAACAUCCCUCGCUCCCACCGCUCCUGCCUUUCUGAGCAGGGAGCAUUCAGCUCCAAGGAGUAGCUCAAGUGUCGCUUGAUGUUAUCAAUAAAUUGUCAGCCUGAGCAUCCCUGUGUUGCCAAGGGUCACUGGCUGUGGUGUUGGAGGCGCUUUUCCCCCAGGAGGUGUGGGGCAGCCAGCGAGGAGGAUCCUGAGUGUGCAGCACGGAGCAGAGAGCAUCGGCUGCCCCGCCUGGGGGGACAGGGCAAAGACUGUGAAAGACUAGUGGUGACAGAGCAGAAUCCCAGCUCACCCGCUGCCAAACCUGGUCUAAGUCCAGAACCGCGCUCCGAGAGCCAACGGAGCAAUAUUUUGGGGAUGGCCCUCCCUGCAGCAGCAGAUCUACUGCCUGAUGGCAGCAGACAGCCAGGCAGUCAGCUGAGAUGAGACACUUCUCUGCAGAUGGUUAAGCUUAAGCAAAAUGCAUCUACGCUACACUCUCUUGAAUUAAAUUCCAGUCGUUUUGGGAACCUAUUGCUUAAAGGAAAAAGUAGAUCACGUUUCAUUAGAUGAUGCCUGAGAUGAAAAACUGGAUCUGGUUUUAUAGAAAACACGGAUAAUUUUCUCCCG